UGGUAGCAAUACUAGCUGAAACUGGCGAACGGGUGAGUAACACGUGAGAAUCUACCUUGAGAUGGGGGAUAGUCUAUAGAGAUAUAGAGUAAUACCGCAUAUGUCGAGAGAUGAAAGGUGCAAUUGCACUGUCACAAGAUGAUCUUGCGAUCCUUUAGCUAGUUGGUAGGGUAAAAGCCUACCAAGGCGACGAUGGAUAGCCGGCCUGAGAGGGUGUACGGCCACAUUGGGACUGAGACACGGCCCAGACUCCUACGGGAGGCAGCAGCUAAGAAUAUUCCGCAAUGGGAGCAAUCCUGACGGAGCGACGCCGCGUGAACGAGGAAGGCAGAAAUGUUGUAAAGUUCUUUUAUACGGGAAGAAUAAGGUAAGGAGUGGAAAGCUUUACUGAUGACGGUACCGUAUGAAUAAGCCACGGCUAACUACGUGCCAGCAGCCGCGGUAAUACGUAGGUGGCAAGCGUUGUUCGGAUUUAUUGGGUGUAAAGGGCGUGUAGGUGGUCAUAUAAGUGUGAGUUGAAAUACCAAAGCUUAACUUUGAGUAUGGCUUGCAAACUGUAUGGCUAGAGUGCAGAAGGGGAGACUGGAAUUCCGUGUGUAGGGGUGAAAUCUGUAGAUAUGCGGAAGAAUACUUGUGGCGAAGGCGAGUCUCUGGCCUGUAACUGACACUGAAACGCGAAAGUGUGGGGAGCAAACAGGAUUAGAUACCCUGGUAGUCCACACUGUAAACGUUGUACACUAGGCGUUAGAGGUAUCGACCCCUCUAGUGCCGAAGCAAACGCGAUAAGUGUACCACCUGGGGAGUAUGCUCGCAAGGGUGAAACUCAAAGGAAUUGGCGGGGGCCCGCACAAGCGGUGGAGCAUGUGGUUUAAUUCGACGAUACGCGAAGAACCUUACCAGGGUUUGACAUUCAAGUGACAAAUACAGAGAUGUAUUCUUCCCUUCGGGGACAUUUGAACAGGUGCUGCAUGGCUGUCGUCAGCUCGUGUUGUGAGAUGUUGGGUUAAGUCCCGCAACGAGCGCAACCCUUACUGUUAGUUGCCAUCAGGUAAAGCUGGGCACUUUAACGGAACUGCCGGUGACAAACCGGAGGAAGGUGGGGAUGACGUCAAGUCCUCAUGGCCCUUAUGUCCUGGGCUACACACGUGCUACAAUGGGCUGUACAAAGGGUUGCAAACCCGCAAGGGCGAGCCAAUCCCAAAGAACAGUCCGUAGUUCAGAUUGGAGUCUGCAACUCGACUCCAUGAAGCCGGAAUCGCUAGUAAUCGCAGAUCAGCACGCUGCGGUGAAUACGUUCCCGGGCCUUGUACACACCGCCCGUCACACCACCCGAGUUGAGGACACCCGAAGUUAUUACCUUAACCGCAAGGAGAGGGGUACCUAAGGUGUGCUUAGUGAGGGGGGUGAAGUCGUAACAAGGUA
RNAcentral lists this ribosomal RNA (1422 nucleotides) under metagenome. Its description in RNAcentral is "bacterial SSU rRNA". It matches the Rfam family "Bacterial small subunit ribosomal RNA". The record is from RNAcentral.